CAGAAGGAAGGUAGCUGUGGAGUC
This 24-nucleotide non-coding RNA is filed under the name Cricetulus griseus (Chinese hamster). The record is from RNAcentral. Lineage: Eukaryota; Metazoa; Chordata; Mammalia; Rodentia; Cricetidae.